Molecule: long non-coding RNA, 1047 nt
Organism: Equus quagga
Lineage: Eukaryota; Metazoa; Chordata; Mammalia; Perissodactyla; Equidae
Exons: 3
Source: RefSeq, a predicted model, not a curated record
CUGGGUUCUGAUUCUAGAAGAAGGGGAUGCUGGGCAGAUCAGAACAAGUGUCCACCAGAAAGUUCCAUAACUGCGAAAGAUGGAAAUGAGAGUUGAAAGAAUUGAGAGAUGUCACCAAAGCUGGUCCCACGUCCGACUUGUAUCUCAGGGGAAAUGGGAAGAAAGAAUGCUCCCUACUCUCCUGUGGCACAUGCUAUGUCUCUGUCUUCUGAAUCAUUGCUCACAGCUUGUCUGCAAGGUAAAGCAGGGGAUGAAAAGUCAAAGCACCAGAAGCACAGCUGUCCUGCCAGCCCCUAAGUCAGCUCCAAGGGUGAGAAAUAGGAUGCAUUUCAGCCCCGAGGAAUGAACUCCUGGGACGUAUGUCUGUCAGGCAGAGUCUGGAGCACUUCCUAGAAAUCUUGACCUGUCGCCGUCAGUGGGGAAGGCUAAUUAAAGGAAAUAAAAGGCUGGUAGCCAGGAGAUUCCAACGUGCUGAGAAAACAAAGGCAGCCAACCUGCGAACUGCGAAGUCAGCUCUCUGCUUUGCCCCUGCCCCGCUCCCUCCACCACCCACCCAAACGCUCGCUCGUUUCUUCACCGGAUUUCCAGAUUUUGCACUACCAACCUACUCUUUGUUUACCCUGACGGAUCAGCGGAGACAACCUUUGCAUAGGAGGCUAAUGCAGUAACCGAGGCCUCCGAGGCCAGCUCCCUCAACGGCUGGAGCUGUCUCUUCUUCAUCGUGUGUCUGAUGCAGGACCAGGCAGCUGCCCAUGGUGGUUCAGAGUGAGGACAUGGAAAUGCAAAUGAAAACUACCAGACACGUCUAUUCCUUCAUCAGAAUGACUAACACUAAAAAGACUGACCAUAGCAAGUGUUGGUGAGGAUGUGGAAUGACUAAAACACUCAUACGCUUCUGAUGGGAAUGCAAAAUGAUACAGUACAGCACGUGGGAACACACUUUGGCAGUGUAUUAGAAAGUUAAAUGUGCACUUUACCAUAUGACCCAGCCAUCCACUCCUAGGUCCUUUCAAAAGUGAAAUGAAAACAGAUAUCUACACAAAGACU